UACGAAGGGUGCGAGCGUUGUUCGGAAUUAUUGGGCGUAAAGGGUUCGUAGGCGGGAGUGUAAGUUGAAUGUGAAAACCCUAGGCUUAACCUGGGACGUGCAUUCAAAACUGUACUUCUUGAGUUUUGGAGAGGGUGGAGGAAUUGCUGGUGUAGGAGUGACAUCCGUAGAGAUCAGCAGGAACGCCAGAGGCGAAAGCGUCCACCUGGCCAGAGACUGACGCUGAGGAACGAAAGCGUGGGGAGCAAACAGGAUUAGAUACCCUGGUAGUCCACGCUGUAAACGAUGAUGACUGGAUGUUGGAAGAGUUUGACCUUUUAGUAUCGAAGUACACACGGUAAGUCAUCCGCCUGGGGAGUACGGCCGCAAGGCUAAA
This 376-nucleotide ribosomal RNA is filed under the name uncultured bacterium. Its description in RNAcentral is "bacterial SSU rRNA". It matches the Rfam family "Bacterial small subunit ribosomal RNA", at positions 524 to 898 of the family's 1533-position model. The record is from RNAcentral.